GGAGCAUGUGGUUUAAUUCGAAGCAACGCGAAGAACCUUACCAGGUCUUGACAUCCCUCUGACCGCUCUAGAGAUAGAGUUUUCCUUUGGGACAGAGGUGACAGGUGGUGCAUGGUUGUCGUCAGCUCGUGUCGUGAGAUGUUGGGUUAAGUCCCGCAACGAGCGCAACCCCUAUUGUUAGUUGCCAUCAUUUAGUUGGGCACUCUAGCGAGACUGCCGGUAAUAAACCGGAGGAAGGUGGGGAUGACGUCAAAUCAUCAUGCCCCUUAUGACCUGGGCUACACACGUGCUACAAUGGCUGGUACAACGAGUCGCGAGUCGGUGACGGCAAGCUAAUCUCUUAAAGCCAGUCUCAGUUCGGAUUGUAGGCUGCAACUCGCCUACAUGAAGUCGGAAUCGCUAGUAAUCGCGGAUCAGCACGCCGCGGUGAAUACGUUCCCGGGCCUUGUACACACCGCCCGUCACACCACGAGAGUUUGUAACACCCGAAGUCGGUGAGGUAACCUUUUAGGAGCCAGCCGCCUAAGGUGGGAUAGAUGAUUGGGGUGAAGUGUAACAAGUAACCAAG
RNAcentral lists this ribosomal RNA (568 nucleotides) under uncultured Streptococcus sp. Its description in RNAcentral is "bacterial SSU rRNA". It matches the Rfam family "Bacterial small subunit ribosomal RNA", at positions 934 to 1503 of the family's 1533-position model. The record is from RNAcentral. Lineage: Bacteria; Bacillati; Bacillota; Bacilli; Lactobacillales; Streptococcaceae.